RNAcentral lists this ribosomal RNA (495 nucleotides) under uncultured bacterium. RNAcentral's name for it is "partial 16S ribosomal RNA". It matches the Rfam family "Bacterial small subunit ribosomal RNA", at positions 28 to 507 of the family's 1533-position model. The record is from RNAcentral.
GACGAACGCUGGCGGCGUGCCUAAUACAUGCAAGUAGAACGCUGAAGGAGGAGCUUGCUCUUCUGGAUGAGUUGCGAACGGGUGAGUAACGCGUAGGUAACCUGCCUGGUAGCGGGGGAUAACUAUUGGAAACGAUAGCUAAUACCGCAUAACAGUAGAUGUUGCAUGACAUUUGCUUAAAAGGUGCAAUUGCAUCACUACCAGAUGGACCUGCGUUGUAUUAGGUAGUUGGUGGGGUAACGGCUCACCAAGGCGACGAUACAUAGCCGACCUGAGAGGGUGAUCGGCCAAACUGGGACUGAGACACGGCCCAGACUCCUACGGGAGGCAGCAGGAGGGAAUCUUCGGAAAUGGACGGAAGUCUGACCGAGCAACGCCGCGUGAGUGAAGAAGGUUUUCGGAUCGUAAAGCUCUGUUGUAAGAGAAGAACGAGUGUGAGAGUGGAAAGUUCACACUGUGACGGUAUCUUACCAGAAAGGGACGGCUAACUACGUG